AAAGAAAGAUUAAUACCAGAUAGUAUAAUGAUUCCGCAUGGUUUCAUUAUUAAAGGAUUCCGGUAAAGGAUGGGGAUGCGUUCCAUUAGGUUGUUGGUGAGGUAACGGCUCACCAAGCCUUCGAUGGAUAGGGGUUCUGAGAGGAAGGUCCCCCACAUUGGAACUGAGACACGGUCCAAACUCCUACGGGAGGCAGCAGUGAGGAAUAUUGGUCAAUGGGCGUUAGCCUGAACCAGCCAAGUAGCGUGAAGGAUGAAGGCUCUAUGGGUCGUAAACUUCUUUUAUAUAAGAAUAAAGUGCAGUAUGUAUAC
This 311-nucleotide ribosomal RNA is filed under the name uncultured bacterium. Its description in RNAcentral is "bacterial SSU rRNA". It matches the Rfam family "Bacterial small subunit ribosomal RNA", at positions 154 to 465 of the family's 1533-position model. The record is from RNAcentral.